This is a long non-coding RNA of Solenopsis invicta (red fire ant), 2193 nucleotides long. RefSeq lists it as uncharacterized. Lineage: Eukaryota; Metazoa; Arthropoda; Insecta; Hymenoptera; Formicidae. The record is from RefSeq and is a predicted model, not a curated record. The transcript has 2 exons.
AGAGAAUAAAAUCACGCCGAGAGACUAAAUGUCGUUUUCAAUUCGCGGAAUUAUGUAUCGUCAGCGAUGUCAUGGAAGAAACCGCCUCCGUAUCUUGUUCCACGCAAACAGGACGUAAAUACCUCUCGGAGAUAGCCGUGCGAUCAUGUAAUCCGCAGAGUACGGCGAUGCGGCUUGUAUCGGCGAUGAAACUCCGAAAGUGGCUCGCGCACACGCGACGUCGAUCCAGCGCAUUCGUCCGGUAAUAACGUAAGAAGAUGCAAAUGCGGCCCGCGGUCAUGUCGUGCUCGCGUUUAUGGAACUCGUAUAUAGUUACGCGCACGUAGAGCAACCCAAGGGGUUGUAAUUAGUGCGUAUACGGCAAGAAAUCGAGGGUGAGUCGGGGUCGUGGAAAUUACGCACACGCAAUUAAUUAAAUAAUGAUAUAAUUGACCCGAAGGGCAGAGUAAUUAGCUGAUUGAUAUACAGAGACGAGACCGGGAGCGAAGGGACGUAAAAGGACGCGAGCGUGGGCCGGAGAGAGAUCCUGCGAGAGGGGUAAGAAGAGGGCAGGAAGACAGAGAGGAGCGCCACAGACGCGCGCGGAGCCAGAGGGGAAUUGUUUCAUAGAAGUUGCAUGCCGCGCAAAUGACGAGAGUAGGGCUGCAAUUUAUUUGCAAUUUGCAUUCGAUUUGCUAGCGGGAUUUAUCGCGACCCGCAACGCAAAUUGAUCGAAUUAAACAGACGCAAAUUUUCUCCGAGGGGUUGCAACAUCGCCACGAUCUUAUCGGAGCGUCGAGCGUCACUUUUCGCAUUCCGACAAAGCCGGCUUCGUAAAGGCAGCACCGAUGAUGGUGGAAAGAUACAAAUUGGGGUCGGGAGAGUAAAGGUUCGAUCAUCCGACCGAAGAUCUUAUCCGCCUAAUGGUGGCAGAAGCCACCACAGCCUAACUUAAAAGUCACUUGGUACCAACAGGUACUACUACCAACUACUUUGACACGAUUAAUCUGGCACAACUAAUUUAAAUAUGUUUUUGUGACGUUGCUAUUUAGUCUGAUGCAAUGAAUUUUAUCUAUAUUGCUAUCUGAUACAUGGAAUACGUGAAAUUGUUAAAAACACUUCUCUUUCAGAUAUCUUUGAAGAUAACGAAAAUCACGUUGUCAAAAAUAUAUUAUAUAUAUAUGAUAUAAUAGAUCAACAAAAGAAAUUAUAGCAGAUACAUCAUAUUACUUAACUGUUCGCUCCAAAAGAGGGCAAUUCGUUCUUCUCGGCCUUUCGGGCUUUCUUUAAUUAAUGAGGUGUAUUGAACUAUUGACGGAUACAAUAGCCUCUCGAAUCAAGUGGUGACUGGCCGAAGUGCUAACCGACGGAUUCUUUGACGGCUGAAUCGAAAUAAUUUAAUUAGCCACCUCCAUUGGCAGCCGCGCGCAAAGUCCCUUCAUCAGGAUGAAAAGAGAAUUUUUGCUCGUUUUGAAUCGUGAGUGCCGCACUUCCGAUUUUCAAAAUUCACAACAGAGCACUGUUUCUUUUGUUUCUCUCGCGAUAAAUAGCGCAGAUUGUACAUAAUUAUAGGUAAUUGGAAAAUUUAUUUUGAAAUUUCAUGACGAUUCCUUGAAACAAGUGUCAAUGUUCCCGCGUUGGCUCAGAUUUUAACGGAUAUCGUGGACGUUACGGAUCCAACGGCGUGUGCCCCUUAAGGCAAAACCUUUCGAUCCUUUAUACAGAUUUACUCACGCCCCCAGAUCCUUGUUUACGCGGCCGUAACCGCAGCUUGCUAAACAUUUAUCGUUCUUGCUCAGAUAAAAGCUCGAUAACAUUAUUAUUACUAUUACUCCAUACCCGAGGCGUUUCCUAAGUGCUUUUCGCUCUAAAACAUCGAAAGUGCUUUUUAAGAUGUGAUCGCGCCUCGGUCGAAAGGACCCCCUAUCUCUUUACCUGCAUUCAGGAUAAUCGCAACCGUAACGUUGGUACGCGUAAGUCGAUGGACGCUUGGCAAAUAGUAAUUGAAAUUUAAGCAUCAUCGCAAUAUUGUAUCUCCUUAAUGCCACUCGCGUACAUACAACGUAUUGAAUGAUGCGUAGUAGGAUAUCGAGCCCGAACUCUCUUCGCCUUCCACCCAAUGUCCCAACGUACAGUUUUGUAUCAUCCCUCAUAUCGCUCUACCUCGAUUUAACUUUGUAAUGAUAUCGUAAAUAUAUACAUGUAUCUACAGGC